Molecule: ribosomal RNA, 253 nt
Filed under: uncultured bacterium
Lineage: Bacteria
Description: partial 16S ribosomal RNA
Rfam family: Bacterial small subunit ribosomal RNA
Source: RNAcentral
UACGUAGGUGGCAAGCGUUGUUCGGAAUUACUGGGCGUAAAGAGCGCGCAGGCGGUCGUUCAAGUCGAGUGUGAAAGCCCCCGGCUCAACUGGGGAGGGUCACUCGAUACUGAUCGACUCGAAGGCAGGAGAGGGAAGUGGAAUUCCCGGUGUAGUGGUGAAAUGCGUAGAUAUCGGGAGGAACACCAGUGGCGAAGGCGACUUCCUGGCCUGUUCUUGACGCUGAGGCGCGAAAGCUAGGGGAGCAAACGGG